GCUUUUAAAGGAUAACAGCUCAUCCAUUGGUCUUAGGAGCCAAAAACUCUUGGUGCAAAUCCAAGUAAAAGCU
This 73-nucleotide transfer RNA is filed under the name Trimma taylori (yellow cave goby). RNAcentral describes it as "tRNA-Leu". It matches the Rfam family "tRNA". From Rfam's summary of the family: Transfer RNA (tRNA) molecules are approximately 80 nucleotides in length. Their secondary structure includes four short double-helical elements and three loops (D, anti-codon, and T loops). RNAcentral also lists the same sequence under 1 other name. The record is from RNAcentral. Lineage: Eukaryota; Metazoa; Chordata; Actinopteri; Gobiiformes; Gobiidae.